ACGUAGGGGGCGAGCGUUAUUCGGAAUUACUGGGUGUAAAGGGUAUGUAGGCGGCCCUUCAAGUCGCGUGUCAAAGUCCAGUGCUCAACGCUGAGCGUGCGCGCGAUACUGACGGGCUUGAGGACUGGAGAGGUGAGCGGAAUUCCCGGUGUAGUGGUCAAAUGCGUAGAUAUCGGGAGGAACACCAGCGGCGCCGGCAGCUCACUAAACAAUUUCUGACGCUAAGAUACGAAAGCGUGGGGAGCAAACAG
RNAcentral lists this ribosomal RNA (251 nucleotides) under uncultured prokaryote. RNAcentral describes it as "partial 16S rRNA". It matches the Rfam family "Bacterial small subunit ribosomal RNA", at positions 525 to 775 of the family's 1533-position model. The record is from RNAcentral.